Molecule: ribosomal RNA, 791 nt
Filed under: Melanohalea trabeculata
Lineage: Eukaryota; Fungi; Ascomycota; Lecanoromycetes; Lecanorales; Parmeliaceae
Description: SSU rRNA
Rfam family: Bacterial small subunit ribosomal RNA
Source: RNAcentral
UAUAGCAAUAGCUACUUGCAUCUUUGUAAUGAUGCAAGAUCGACUAUGUCGAAUAAAAUUCUAGGUAGAAUUAUGAUAAUGACAUUGUCUGCCUAUGUGUCUUGACCAAAUUACGUGCCAGCAGUCGCGGUAAUACGUAGAAGACUAGUGUUAUUCAUGUUUAAUCGGUUUAAAGGGUACCUAGACGGUAAAUCAAGCUUUCCAAGAAAUAAAGUUAAAGGACUAAUUUACUAGAGUUACUUAUGAGGGGGUAUUAAAGUACUGCUGGUGUAGAGAUGAAAUUCUGUCAUACCUCUUUUCAAUAGAAAAAUGAUGGCACAGGUAUAGGCGAAGGCAUCCCCUUAUGUGAUAACUGACGUUGAGGGACGAAGGCUUUGUGUAGCGAACAGGAUUAGAUACCCCAGUAGUCGAAGCAGAAAAUGAUGAAUGUCAUAGAUUAGAGGUAAGUUUAUUCUAUAAAUGAAAGUGUAAGCAUUCCACCUCAUGAGUAAUUUGGCAACAUUGGAACUGAAAUCAUUAGACCGUUUCUGAAACCAGUAGUGAAGUAUGUUGUUUAAUUUGAUAAUCCGCAAAAAACCUUACCACAAUUUGAAUAUUUAUAUUUUUUUUUAUUGUUUUCUUCUUAAUUUUUUUCUAAGAAGAAAGUUAACACGGAGGCAAUAAGAUAUAUUUACAAGCGUUGCACGGCUGUCUUCAGUUAAUGUCGCGAGACUUUGGUUAGUUCCAUUAAAUUAACGUAGACCCUUACUUUAUUUUUAUAUAGAGUAGUUCUCCGCUAUAUUGGAUAUGAU